ACUAAAGACUUCCAGGACUAAGUGGUCUGUGAGGUGCAGGGGGGACCCCACACCCUCACAGAGGAACCUUGGGAAGCUUCCAAGAGGAGGUGAUGUCUGAUUUGGGCUUUAGGGGACAAACAGGAAUAUCACAGGGCCAGGAAGGCCAUUCCAGGCACGGGGAAGGGGCAAGCAGAGGCUGGGAGGUGGGAGGGAGAGCAUGAGGCUUGAGGAAGAUAGAGGACAAUUGAGCUGUUAUUGAGUGAGUGGAGGACAAUUUCUGCCUGAGAAAUGACCUGCUGUGGGACCUCAAGGAAAGUCCCUUCUCUAGGUCCCAUUUUCUGGGACACGAAAUGAAGGUUUGCUUAAUAAUUCAGGAUCAGAGUUCAAAUGGAAACACUUGACAUUUACAAGCUGUAUGACUCCGGCAAAUUGCUUAACUCUGAUUACCCCCAAAAAUUCCCAUGGAGAAUCCAGGCAACAGAGGGGAGGAGGACGAGCAUCCCAGGCAUGGGGAUCUGCGGGACAAAAGCCUGGAUCGGGAGAUGGAGAAGACCGGUCUUGUGCAAGGAGCAGCCAGGAGGCCACUGACACUGGAUGGAAGAAUCUAUGGGGUGGCGAAAGUGAGAUAUAGGAAGCCGGGAUAGGCAGGAGGGGACCCGGCUGUGGAAGGCAUAAAUAUCCAAAGUGAGGUGAUUUUUGUUUUGUUUUUACCAUGGAAGAGCUUUAUUAUUCCUUUUUUUUCCAUUAAUUUUUUUAUUUUCCUCAGUCCCAUGUAAAACAACAUUUUUAAAUUUUUUAUUUUACGUGUACAUUCAUUUUUUAUAUAGAAUCAUGUUGGGAGAGAAAAGUUAGCUCAAAAGGGAAAAACCAGGAGAAUUCAGUCUCCAUGAUUCUCUCUCCCGACGCGUUUCCACCCAAAGUUUAUGGAAUCGCCUUGGGGGAGAAAGAUCAAAGCGAUCGGGGCUGAUCCUGCACAACCUGCGGUGCGGGCCUUUCCUAGGCGGAUGGGAGGCGGGACUCCUCCGGGGAACUGCGGACCUCUUCCCGAAGGCCCUGCAGUGUCCGGGGCUGGCGGCCCCCGGCCCAGGAGCGGGCCGCUCCCUCCGGCCCAGCAGGGCCCGUCUGAAAUCCCUGCGGCCGCCCAGCCCGAGCGGCUUCCGCCCCUUCCGAUCCCUGUGAGGGCUGUGCGGCCCGGGAGAGCGCAAAUUCUCUUCGGUCCCGGAGGCUGAGCACCUGACGCGGGGCUGGGACCGGGACCGGGGGGGCUGCGGCAGAAGCGGGAGGAGUCCGGGAGCCAGGCAGCCGGAGAGGGGGAAGGCGAAGGAGGAAGGGGAGGAAGGACCGGCUCCGGCUCCGGGCCCGGGGCGCUGACCCGGCUCCGGCUCCCUUCCCUUCCUGCUUCCACCCCCGGACAGUAAAUGAUGGGGCAUGGAAUGGUCACAUCAAAGGGUUAGGAAAAGUCCUUUGUUUUCUGAGGAGGGGCUGGAUGGGCGUGGGGGGGGGGAAAUGGAGGCAGGGAGGCCAGAGAGGAGCCCCUUGAGGGGUCCGGACAUGAACCGGUGGGAGCCUGCCCCGGCGGGAGACUGAGGGAAGCCGCCGAGGUGGAGGCCGUCAAGUGCAGCUCCCUAUUUAUACCGAAGAGGAAACUGAGUCCUGGGGAGGGGUCCCACAGGUAGAGUCAGGUUUCAUAGCCAGCCCCCUCCCAAGGAGGCAGAUUAAUCAAUCAUUUAAUUAAUUAUUAAUUAAUUUCUUUAUUUAUCCUUUAUUUGUUAGUAAUGAUUAUAUAAAUUAACUCGUUGAUGGGUUGCUUAAUUACUAAAUUAAAGGCUGAUUGGAGGCUGGCAGUCAGGGGAAGGGGAGGAUUUGGGGGAGGACGAUUGGAGUAAUGGGAAUGAGCUUCCUUCCCCUCCUUCUGCCUCGGAGCCAGGAAUGCCCCUGCUGGGAUGGGGGGAAGGGCAGACUGAGCUGCCAGCCCCUGGCUGCCCACAGGACACUGCCAAAUUCCUCACCUCCUCCUGCUUCUGGGUGGGUCCUGCCCCCCACUGUCCCUCACCCUUGAGCACCCCUUGUUGUUCCCCCUCUGGCAACCAUGGGAAGGGGGAAGGCUUAUCUAAGUCCUCCUCCUAUCCUGAGAGUGCUCCUGCUUCUGUAUCCCCAAAGGCUCAGCCAAGCCUAGCUUGGGGUCCACUCUGACCUUUAUGUGGGUAUCUAAAGCAGACCAGAAGGUCCAGGUUCAGGGGCCCCACUGCUCCCCAAAGGCCCAGCCCUUCCCUACCCAAGCUUGGGGUCCACCGUGACCACUGUCUAAGGCAGACCAGAAGGCCCAGAGUUCCAGAGCCUCGGCUGCCCACGGGGUCUCUGGGCAAAUUUCCUUCCUUCCUUGCCCCCGACUCCCUCCCCAUCUUGCCCCCCUGCAUGCAGCAUCUGACCCACAUAGUAGCCCUCGGUAAAUGCUCAUUGACUGACUGACAGACCGACUCUUGCUUCUGCCCACCCACGAGUGCCCCGUCCCUCCUCUUCCUGCACAGACUCCCUUGCCCCUCAGUGCAAGAAGGCUGUCGGACAAGCUGGCAUCCUAGGCCCCUGCCAACCCUAGAACUGCGGGCUCAUCACCCUUUGCUAAGGGCUGGCAUUCGGACGGAGGCUGUUGGUCUGAGCCCCAGCUGGCACAGUGAAGAGGGCCCUGGGCCUGGCAGGAGGUUGAUCUGAGCUCAGAUUCAGUUCUGGGUCUGCCUUAGUUUCUCCCAGUAUAAAACGGGCAGAAUCACCUGCUUCCCAGGGUUGUAAAGACUUUAGAAUACCAUAUGAACACAUUUUGUUCGGUCCUGACUCUUCGCGAUCCCAUCUGGGAUUUUACUGGCAAAGCUACAGGAAUGGUUUUCCAUUUCCUUCUCCUGAGGCAAGUGGGCCGAGUGACUUGCCCAGGGUCUCGCAGCUAGAAAGGGCCAGAUCUGCCCUCAUGUAGCUCUUAUAGAUCAUUUCUGCACCAAAACAGGAAGCGAUGGUCUCCCGGAGGUGGGGAGGAGAGGUUUUGAGGGGCAUUAAUCAGCUGACAGACAAGUGGUGCUGGUGGGGAGGCCCUGGAGGACCGGACCCUCUCCUUCCAUUUCUGUCCCUGCCUGGCUGUUUCAGCACAGUCCAGCAGGGACCCUCUCCACAGCACGAUGCUUUUCUCCCAACAGUCUUGGGUGUUUGGACUCGGGAUGAAGGCCUCUGAAUUUCCCUGGGCUGUCUCUUCUUGGAAGAAUCCAUCUGACUUCCACGGUCCGCUAUAAGCAAGGCACUGGUCGGCUCUGUGGCAGAGCUGCUGUGGGCCGAGCCCCUGGGGUCCAGUUUCUAGGGACAGCCGUUCCCUAUCCACACCAAUGGCUGGCGAGAGGCCCCCUCUGGCCCGGGCCGACCUUCAGGCCAGGUGCCACCUGCUCUGCCCCCUCCCUCACCCCGCCCAAGCUUGCCAGUGCUGGGGGGAGUUUCCCUGCCUCUUUCCCCCGAUUUGCUUCUGUCCAGUGCUCUCAGGGCUAUGCUUGGUCAGCGUUCCAUCUCGGCCCGAAGGAAAGAUCAGAACACUAGAGUGCCAUUUCCAAAGGUCCUUGAUCCCUGGUCCACAAGGGGAGAGGGGAAAUCAAUGAUUUUGCAACCGUGAGAAUCGUGGAUUUGUGCCAGGGGCAGGAUGGGCAGGGAACUGAGCCCUGAUAGCAAGAAUCAGAUUCGGGCAUUGGAACUUACAAGCUGUGUGACCCUAGGCAGAGUAAAUGUUCCUGACUCUAUCCCAUACUGCUCCUGCCUCCUCCCCAGGAUCUGUGGGAGCAUCCUCAGGCCUGGACUCUCUGGAUUUCUCCCCCACCUCCUUUAAAAGAACUUCAGAUCCAGACUGGGAAGAAGACAUCAGUGCAGUGGAUCAUUCAAAGAACAGAAAGGUUUGCCCAAAGCCACGCAAGUCCAUAAUCUACCUCAAUCGCAAUUUUCUUUCUAUAAAAUGGGGCCAAUGUUAAUAGCUUAUCUCACAAUGUUGUUGAAAAAAUCGAAUUAAAUCAAAUUAUGAGA
Long non-coding RNA from Antechinus flavipes (yellow-footed antechinus), 4026 nucleotides. RefSeq lists it as uncharacterized. Lineage: Eukaryota; Metazoa; Chordata; Mammalia; Dasyuromorphia; Dasyuridae. The record is from RefSeq and is a predicted model, not a curated record. The transcript is spliced from 2 exons.